This 670-nucleotide ribosomal RNA is filed under the name uncultured bacterium. RNAcentral describes it as "bacterial SSU rRNA". It matches the Rfam family "Bacterial small subunit ribosomal RNA", at positions 90 to 772 of the family's 1533-position model. The record is from RNAcentral.
GGAGAGCGGCGAACGGGUGAGUAACACGUGGGCAACCUGCCCCGGACACCGGGAUAACCCAGGGAAACCUGAGCUAAUACCGGAUACUCCGGCGCGAUCGCAUGGUCGUGCCGGGAAAGCUCCGACGGUCCGGGAUGGGCCCGCGGCCUAUCAGCUUGUUGGUGGGGUAACGGCCCACCAAGGCGACGACGGGUAGCUGGUCUGAGAGGACGGCCAGCCACACUGGGACUGAGACACGGCCCAGACUCCUACGGGAGGCAGCAGUGGGGGAUCUUGCGCUAAUGCGCGAAAGCGUGACGCAGCGACGCCGCGUGGGGGAUGAAGGCCUUCGGGUUGUAAACCCCUUUCGGCAGGGACGAAGGGAAACUGACGGUACCUGCAGAAGAAGUCCCGGCUAACUACGUGCCAGCAGCCGCGGUAACACGUAGGGGACGAGCGUUGUCCGGAUUCAUUGGGCGUAAAGCGCGCGUAGGCGGCUCGGAAAGUCGGUCGUGAAAUGCCGGGGCUCAACCCCGGGACUGCGUCCGAUACUUCCGGGCUGGAGGUAGGUAGGGGAGAUCGGAAUUCCUGGUGUAGCGGUGAAAUGCGCAGAUAUCAGGAGGAACACCGGUGGCGAAGGCGGAUCUCUGGGCCUUACCUGACGCUGAGGCGCGAAAGCUAGGGGAGCGAA